Molecule: ribosomal RNA, 446 nt
Filed under: uncultured prokaryote
Description: bacterial SSU rRNA
Rfam family: Bacterial small subunit ribosomal RNA
Source: RNAcentral
UCGAGAAUCUUCGGCAAUGGGCGCAAGCCUGACCGAGCGACGCCGCGUGCGGGAUGAAGGCCUUCGGGUUGUAAACCGCUGUCAGAGAGGCGGAAAUGCUAUGGGGUACUCUCCAUAGUUUGACCUAAUCUCAGAGGAAGCGCAGGCUAAUUCCGUGCCAGCAGCCGCGGUAACACGGAAUGCGCAAACGUUAUUCGGUAUCACUGGGCUUGAAGGGUCCGUAGGCGGCCUGGUAGGUGGGGUGUGAAAUCCCUCGGCUCAACCGAGGAAUUGCGCUUCAAACCACCAAGCUAGAGGGAGACAGGGGUGAGCGGAACAGAUGGUGGAGCGGUGAAAUGCGUUGAUAUCAUCUGGAACACCGGUGGCGAAGGCGGCUCACUGGGUCUCUUCUGACGCUGAGGGACGAAAGCUAGGGGAGCGAACGGGAUUAGAUACCCCCGUAGUCC